RNAcentral lists this unclassified non-coding RNA (248 nucleotides) under uncultured Lasiosphaeriaceae. Its description in RNAcentral is "sequence contains ITS2". The stretch from base 1 to 52 matches the Rfam family "5.8S ribosomal RNA", at positions 103 to 154 of the family's 154-position model. Lineage: Eukaryota; Fungi; Ascomycota; Sordariomycetes; Sordariales; Lasiosphaeriaceae. The record is from RNAcentral.
AACGCACAUUGCGCCCGCCAGUAUUCUGGCGGGCAUGCCUGUUCGAGCGUCAUUUCAACCAUCAAGCCCCUGUGCUUGUGUUGGAGCCCUGCGGCUGCCGCAGACUCCCAAACCCAGUGGCGGGCUCGUCGUCGUACCGAGUGCAGUAAAUUUACCACGCUCAGGGCACGCGACGGGUGACCGGCCGUAAAACCCCCCCCUUUCUCAAGGUUGACCUCGGAUCAGGUAGGAAUACCCGCUGAACUUAA